AAUUAUUUAUUUGAUGGUCUCUUACUACAUGGAUAACCGUAGUAAUUCUAGAGCUAAUACAUGAGUAAAGACCCGACUCUUGCGGGGAGGGUUGUAUUUAUUAGAUUGAAAACCAAAGCGGGCUAUGCCCGGUUUCAUGGUGAGUCAUAGUAACUUUUCGGAUCGCAUGGCUUUAUGCCGGCGACAGUUCAUUUAAAAUUUUGCCCCAUCAACCUUCGGCGGGAGAGUAGCGGACCACCCUGG
Molecule: ribosomal RNA, 243 nt
Filed under: uncultured eukaryote
Lineage: Eukaryota
Description: partial 18S rRNA
Rfam family: Eukaryotic small subunit ribosomal RNA
Source: RNAcentral